CAGGGAUUGCCCUAGUAACGGCGAGUGAAGCGGCAACAGCUCAAAUUUGAAAUCUGGCCCUAGCGGUCCGAGUUGUAAUUUGUAGAGGAUGCUUUUGGUUAGGUGCCUUCUGAGUUCCCUGGAACGGGACGCCAGAGAGGGUGAGAGCCCCGUACGGUUGGACACCGAGCCUCUAUAUAGCUCCUUCGACGAGUCGAGUAGUUUGGGAAUGCUGCUCUAAAUGGGAGGUAAAUUUCUUCUAAAGCUAAAUACCGGCCAGAGACCGAUAGCGCACAAGUAGAGUGASUCGAAAGAUGAAAAGUACUUUGAAAAGAGGGUUAAAUAGCACGUGAAAUUGUUGAAAGGGAAGCGUUUGCGACCAGACUUUUUCCAGGCGGAUCAUCCGGUGUUCUCACCGGUGCACUUCGCCUGGUUUAGGCCAGCAUCGGUUCCCUUAGGGGGAUAAAGGCCUGGGGAACGUAGCUCCUUCGGGAGUGUUAUAGCCCCUAGCGUAAUACCCUUCGGGGGACCGAGGAACGCGCAUCUGCAAGGAUGCUGGCGUAAUGGUCGUCAACGACCCGUCUUGAAACACGGACCAAGGAGUCGAACAUUUGUGCGAGUGUUUGGGUGUUAAACCCUCACGCGUAAUGAAAGUGAACGGAGGUGAGAGCCCUUCGGGGUGCAUCAUCGACCGAUCCUGAUGUCUUCGGAUGGAUUUGAGUAAGAGCAUAACUGUUCGGACCCGAAAGAUGGUGAACUAUGCGUGGAUAGGGUGAAGCCAGAGGAAACUCUGGUGGAGGCUCGCAGCGGUUCUGACGUGCAAAUCGAUCGUCAAAUCUGCGCAUGGGGGGCGAAAGACUUAUCGAACCAUCUAGUAGCUGGUUACCGCCGAAGUUCCCCCCUCCAGGAUUAGCCAGCG
RNAcentral lists this ribosomal RNA (898 nucleotides) under Daldinia childiae. RNAcentral's name for it is "partial large subunit ribosomal RNA". The record is from RNAcentral. Lineage: Eukaryota; Fungi; Ascomycota; Sordariomycetes; Xylariales; Hypoxylaceae.